AGUGAACGCUGGCGGCAGGCCUAAUACAUGCAAGUCGAACGGCAGCACAGCAGAGCUUGCUCUGUGGGUGGCGAGUGGCGGACGGGUGAGGAAUACGUGGGAAUCUGCCCAGUCGUGGGGGAUAACGUAGGGAAACUUACGCUAAUACCGCAUGCGCCCUUCGGGGAAGGCCGGGACCGUCGGCCGUGGCGCGAUUGGAUGAGCCCACGUCGGAUUAGCUAGUUGGCGGGGUAAAGGCCCACCAAGGCGACGAUCCGUAGCUGGUCUGAGAGGAUGAUCAGCCACACUGGAACUGAGACACGGUCCAGACUCCUACGGGAGGCAGCAGUAGGGAAUAUUGGACAAUGGGCGCAAGCCUGAUCCAGCCAUGCCGCGUGAGUGAAGAAGG
This 388-nucleotide ribosomal RNA is filed under the name uncultured bacterium. RNAcentral's name for it is "bacterial SSU rRNA". It matches the Rfam family "Bacterial small subunit ribosomal RNA", at positions 30 to 414 of the family's 1533-position model. The record is from RNAcentral.